UGUUAGAGAUUUAGUGGAUCGCCAUGAACC
Molecule: non-coding RNA, 30 nt
Filed under: Mus musculus (house mouse)
Lineage: Eukaryota; Metazoa; Chordata; Mammalia; Rodentia; Muridae
Source: RNAcentral